AUUUUUUCUGAUACUUCAUGUUAAAAAUUAAAGUAAUAUCAAUUAUACUUUUUUCUAUAGACUUUUAACUGAAAGCUUUUGUAAAAACUAGAUACUAUUAUAAAUAGAAGAUCUUAUGGAUUGGCAAAUACCUGAUCCAGACAUGCGAGUUGCGAACAGAUUAAGUAAUUGAGUGAAGUUGAUUGGUCCAGGAGCUUCACUUAACAUAUCGUCGAGUUCCUUGUCAGUAACAAGACGACCAACGGAGUCGAAACACGCACGGAGGUCAUUCUUUCCAAUUAUACCAUCCUUAUCUGCAUCCAUAAGUUGGAAUGCCUAAAAACAUAAUUCCAAGAAUUUACAAUUUAUUUGCUCUAUACAUAAUGAAUUAACACGGUUUUAGUUGUAAUUUAUUGUUUGUCAUCUCUUUUAUAUAAACACUGAUGAAUUGGUUGCUUCAUAAAUAAUUUAAAAAUAUUGUAAAAUUAUAACAAACAUGUGAUUUAAGUCGUUAAUGGUCAAAGAAUCUUUAAACUUCGACGAUCUGAUAACGGGGCGUGCGAGGCAAGUCAAUAUAAGGACGGACGGAGACAGAUAUGUAUAAAAGACCUGAAUCAUUAUUAUUGAAGAAUAUUUAAAAAGAAACUAAAAUUACCAUUUUGUUAUUUUUCAUUUUCCUUUUCUAUUGUCAUGGAGAAUUUUUCCUCAAACUUUCUUCCACUUAUUAAGAAAUAUUUUCUACACAUAUAAUGUGUUUAUAUAUAGAAGAUACAUAAUAAGUAAAAAAAUUUUGUAGUAUUGUGGUGGUGACUAACGAAUAGUAACAGCAGUUUUAUUCUGUUGAAAAGGCUUACUCAAAUACGAUAAUCAACUUUGUUUCUUAAUUGGUACUAUAUUUACAGAUAUUUAUUGUAUAGAAUAUUGUAUAAUUUCAGAAAAAUAAAUAUGCUACAUAUGUAUACAUGUGCAGAUGUUCGAAUUUAGAUGGUCGGGAGGAAAUGAAUUGAAAUGAUCUGUCUAUAUUAUUAAUAAAGAAAUUAUUAUUCUGUUCAAUUUUUAGUCUUGAGUAGUUAUCGUUUAUUUGUUAACACGUCUCUGUUUCUACUCGUUUUAAGCAGAAGUAUUAGAAAACCAUCAAUACAACGCAUAUGCAAGAUAUUUAAGUUUAUCUUCCUCUCUUUCUUAUUUUCUAGAAAGGAGCAAUUUAAUUUUUAUGAAUUGCAGCUAAAAUUAUAAUACAUCGAAAACUUCCUACAGCAAUACAUAAUAUGGAAAGAAGAAUUAUUACAGCGUGUGGACGAUUAUCUUUUGUGGAAAUAAUGAAACGUGUUGUGCUACUAAUUGAAAAGAAUGUUAUUUCGUACUAGUUCCAAAAGUUAAGUAAAAAAAUUAGUUUACAUGAUCUUCAGUACUCUUGAAGAGUUUUUUUAUGCGUGAAUUAUAUGUUUCAUUACAUAUACUACAAUGUAUUUUGUAUAACAUUUAAACUACAAACUUUUAUAUAUUGCUGUGACCUGGAUCGUUGAAUUUAUGAUUAAAGUUAAGUGGUCUAUACAAACAAAUAAAAUGUACAAUUCCAUUGAAUAAAGCAAAGUUGAGUCUUAUUGCAUUAACCUAUU
Molecule: long non-coding RNA, 1598 nt
Organism: Nomia melanderi (Alkali bee)
Lineage: Eukaryota; Metazoa; Arthropoda; Insecta; Hymenoptera; Halictidae
Source: RefSeq, a predicted model, not a curated record